GACAAAACUUCUAGGGAAUCUAAUUUCUUUCGAACCCCCUAUUAUAUUUAUAUGCGGUCCUAACCUUGCUACUCUUACUUCCACUAGCAAGAGAACUUCUGCUCGUAACAUACCCCUAGGGAUAUAAUCUUACUUCUUGAAGCGAGCUACUUUAACUGCCAAAGGAGCGGGGCAACUCGAGUUAGACGAGAGGCAGGGAUGUAAUUUCAAAGAGGCUCGACCGGACCCAAGAACCGGACAGAAGACAGGCCCCACUGUGAUACCUCGUGCAAGUUCUAGUUAAUGACCUGAAAGAAGUCACUAGCUUCUUGCUAUCGAGCGUGCCUUCCCACUGUGAUACGUCGUGCAAGUUCUAGUUAAUGACCUGAAAGAAGUCACUAGCUUCUUGCUAUCGAGCGUGCCUAAGCCUUAGUUUACAAGGAAGCUUUGUCGUACUUAGAAAAGGAUGGUUCUAAAGUAGGUGUCAAGCUGAGAAAAGGCGGAGAAUUUUUGAAUUCAAGAAAAGAAAGGCAUUGCCCAAUACAUUUAUUCUAUACAAUAGGAAUUCCAAGCCGUAAAAGGCAAUGUGAAUUCCUACGACUCCUCUCACUCUCAGGGACGGAUUGAACAGCAGCUGUUAGGGAAGGAUCUCUAUCAUUGGUUCAUCAGAAGCCAUCAAGCACGAAAGCAGCAAGGAGUGUGCUAGUGAGUCCCAAGCGAAGGAAAGAAGGACAUGAGAGGCAUAGAGAGGACUCAAGGACAAGACACGACUCAGACCCCGGUAAAUUUGAUCUUCAUUGGCCUUGCUGUCCGCAGAUCGAUUACUCUCCUUUGAAGGUGAAGCCCGUUUGAAGGCAAGUCAUGGUAUCCGGGAUCGGACAUCGAAAGGGAAGGCGAGGUUUCAAAGUCUAUUAUGGAAGCGGGCCCCUACUGGUAGUGAUACCCCGAUCUCAUGGAUGAAGGCUAACGUUUUCUAUUGGAAUAGAGGGAUGUGCAGAUCAAUUCUACUUUUCACUUUGCCAUCUAGAGAUAGUUUGCCCUGAGUUAGGAUACGGAGUUGGAAGAGAAUGCCAGUAUAUCAGUUCAUCUUCAUCAAAGGCCAAGAUCUCCAUGAAUUCUAUUAUUUUGCGUCUCUUUGCUUCUGAGGGAGUUUCAAGUUUAAGCCGAUCCUCGAGGUCCAGUAAAAGGUCACUCCUCAUCCCGAUCUUAUUAAAGGAGGAAGUAAACAGAUCAAGGUUUCUACGUACCUCUAUUAUGGAGGGUGCGGGCAGGGGGGACGGCGGGGAGGCCGGCUCCACCGGUUGGUUGCCGAAGAUGACCCCUUGCCUUGGUCUCCAAAUAAGUAUUUAUAAUAGUCAAAAGCACCUUAAAACCACUAAUAAGUUGGAGAUGAGGGUGAUGAGUUGGGAUCCUAUAAGGCGGGGGCACGGGGUUAUGGUCUUGUUACUUUAUGUUUCGGAGUCAAUUGAUCCCUCGAUCAAGCCCUAACUAGAAAUAUCUUAAGAGAAGAAGAGAAAUCAUUUGGAUUCGAGGCGAAACCCCUCUCCGCCGUUACGGAGUUCUUCUGCUCUAAUCUCCGAAAUCGAAGGUCAGCUGACUGAGGAGUUAGUAUUGAUUCAUGCAAAGAUGCUCCUUUGAAGCUGGAGUAAGGAAUUGUCCACCUCAUCACCCCGAAGAGCAGUGGCUCUUUUGUUUUGCACGCCUACAAAGAGAGACUCCAAAAGUACCGACGCCUAAUCGAAAGAAAGAGAAAUCAACUAUAUGCUUAACUCAUGCCCCAGGAAUCCUUAGACACAGAGAGAGGAUACGAGCUAAUCUUUUACUAGAGGGAAAGCUGGCGAAAAGCAUAGAGCGUGCGUGCUAUGCUCUCGCCCUCCUUCCAUCCGAGAAGCUGAGGCGGUUGAAAAAGCGUAAUUCCCCGGUGUCAUAGGUUACCUUUCUAUUUUCCUCCCCCGUGACGUUCCCAAAGCGAUCGCUAUCCUUUUAUUGCUUUCUUCUUGUCUUGAAUUUUUAUAGAAUGGCUUUAUCUCAGGUAUAGUUGGAUAGGAUGAAGCGUUAGUAGAUAUAGCAAGUGUGCCGGGGAUGCGGCUCGGGAAUAGUAGGUCUGGACGCCUAUCAUGAAAGAGCCUUCUCUUGUAGCAGCACUAUACCUUAGUAUCUCUCUAGCUUCUAGUCUAUAUAAAACGUAUUUAGCAGAGGUCUUUCUGGCGUUUCCUCGCGUAAAGGACUACUUUUGCAUCGGCUCUCUCUCGUUAGGUAAUUACCGAGGCGAAAGCAGCUCUCUCGGAAGUCAGUUUCCUCGCCAUCUUAGUGGGACUAGUCUAAAAAACUUUCACUUACUCGGUUUUUUUGCGGGAAGGCCCUUCUAGAAUUACGUUUAACGUCCCUUUAUGACUUUCCCGAUCGGCGCCAAGUCUAAAAAGCUUUCACUUACUCGGUUUUUUUGCGGGAAAGCCCUUCUAAAAUUAUGUUUAACGUCCCUUUAUGACUUUCCCGAUCGGCGCCUCGAGUCGGUAGCUGAGCUCUGGGGCAUUACUACCACGGCUACUAUUGACCCGAGCCCAAAGAAGGAAAAGAACGGACUAAAGCGAGGAGUUCAUUAGCCAUACAUAGUUAAGGAGGAUGGGGGUCAACCUCUUUCAUGACCCAUGGCCCCAGUGUGUCACUUGGUUAGCAUUUGUAGAACAAAAUAAGUAGGGCUGGUUCCCGAUCGGCGCCUCGAGUCGGUAGCUGAGCUCUGGGGCAUUACUACCACGGCUACUAUUGACCCGAGCCCAAAGAAGGAAAAGAACGGACUAAAGCGAGGAGUUCAUUAGCCAUACAUAGUUAAGGAGGAUGGGGGUCUACCUCCUUCAUGACCCAUGGCCCCAGUGUGUCACUUGGUUAGCAUUUGUAAAACAAAAUAAGUAGGGAUGGUUUUUCGAUAGGGAAAGAGACAGGGGAGGGGAGUUGGCUGUAAUUGAGACACGUUUUUCGGAUGGACGAUAUGGAUUUUUUCGAGAUAGUUAACCACUUUUUUAACCGUGAGAGGGUGGAUGUAAUUCAGCUCGAACGAAGUGAGAGGGGUAAUAGACUAUUACCGUUCAGUUCAUGUGACGAACCGAACAUCGUUAGGUCCCGAAUUCUGCGAAGCACCGGAUCUAGAUCAAGAUCUCCAUUACGUCGUACGAUAUAUCGAUCCGGAGAACUUACUUUCAGUUUAAGUCAUCCAUUCUGCUCCUAUCUAAAGUGAUGCUAGGCUGCUUCACAGAGGUGCGCUUCGCUCGACCACAUGAUGAACAUGUUUUAAGCUAACUGCAUGUCGAGCGCUUAAGCGGAGCUUGUGGUCACUCGUUCCUCGCUUGUUCGAAAGAGCUUCAGAUUGGAUUCAACACUACAUACGAUAUUCCAUUCCGACUCCCCUUAUGCCUUUUGCUGCUCCACAAUGCUCUCUCCAAAACAAAACUCAAGUGAGUGAAAGAAGCCCGCAUUCCCUCUCUUCUUUCCCCUAUCGCUAGGGGCCUUGCCUUUUUAAAUGAAAGGCUACAUUCGAUUCUGACAACGGGUAAAGCUACUGCCCAGCCCUACCUUUAUGCAGGAAUUGACCAAAUAAGGAAGAUUGUGACCCCCAACGAAAAAGGAAUGGCAUUUUCGGGGAAUAGCCCGCUUAAAUAAACUAGAUUGAAGAAAGGGAGGAUAUCCGAAAGGCUCAGAGAAUGGGGAUAAACUACUCAGGAUAUCCUGAUAACUAACCCAUAGGAAAAAGCUCUAUACGAUACGCGAGUUGUUGGUGGAAUACGAGUAAGGACUUUGUUUGCCCAAGUCCCUUGCUUGAAGGACUAUCGCACUUUCAGUGGUACUGAGACUGUCCCUACCACUACCCUUUAUCAAGCUGGUUUACAAGAGUUCUGGCUUUCCCAACCGGACAAAACUUCUAGGGAAUCUAAUUUCUUUCGAACCCCCUAUUAUAUUUAUAUGCGGUCCUAACCUUGCUACUCUUACUUCCACUAGCAAGAGAACUUCUGCUCGAAACAUACCCCUCGGGAUAUAGUCUUACUUCUUGAAGCAAGCUACUUUAACUGCCAAAGGAGCGGGGCAACUUGAGUUAGACGAGAGGCAGGGAUGUAAUUUCAAAGAGGCUCGACCGGACCCAAGAACCGGACAGAAGACAGGCCCCACUGUGAUACCUCGUGCAAGUUCUAGUUAAUGACCUGAAAGAAGUCACUAGCUUCUUGCUAUCGAGCGUGCCUUAGCCUUAGUUUACAAGGAAGCUUUGUCGUACUUAGAAAAGGAUGGUUCUAA
This 4260-nucleotide long non-coding RNA is filed under the name Nicotiana benthamiana. RNAcentral describes it as "long non-coding RNA (NBEN_LNC004765)". The record is from RNAcentral. Lineage: Eukaryota; Viridiplantae; Streptophyta; Magnoliopsida; Solanales; Solanaceae.